GCACCCAUAGCUCAGCUGGCUAGAGCACCAUCCUUCUAAGUUGGGGGCCACAGGUUCGAAUCCUGUUGGGUGUU
RNAcentral lists this transfer RNA (74 nucleotides) under Histiona aroides. RNAcentral's name for it is "tRNA-Arg". It matches the Rfam family "tRNA". From Rfam's summary of the family: Transfer RNA (tRNA) molecules are approximately 80 nucleotides in length. Their secondary structure includes four short double-helical elements and three loops (D, anti-codon, and T loops). The record is from RNAcentral. Lineage: Eukaryota; Jakobea; Jakobida; Histionidae.